UACGGAGGGUGCAAGCGUUAUCCAGAUUCACUGGGUUUAAAGGGUGCGUAGGUGGCCCUAUAAGUCAGCGGUGAAAGUCUGCAGCUUAACUGUAGAACUGCCAUUGAUACUGUAAGGCUUGAGUACUGAUGAGGUAGGCGGAAUUGAUAGUGUAGCGGUGAAAUGCAUAGAUAUUAUCAAGAACACCGAUUGCGAAGGCAGCUUACUAAGGAGUUACUGACACUGAGGCACGAAGGCGUGGGGAUCAAACAGG
This 253-nucleotide ribosomal RNA is filed under the name uncultured prokaryote. RNAcentral's name for it is "partial 16S ribosomal RNA". It matches the Rfam family "Bacterial small subunit ribosomal RNA", at positions 524 to 776 of the family's 1533-position model. The record is from RNAcentral.